UGAGUAACACGUAUCCAACCUGCCGUCUACUCUUGGACAGCCUUCUGAAAGGAAGAUUAAUACAAGAUGGCAUCAUGAGUCCGCAUGUUCACAUGAUUAAAGGUAUUUCCGGUAGACGAUGGGGAUGCGUUCCAUUAGAUAGUAGGCGGGGUAACGGCCCACCUAGUCUUCGAUGGAUAGGGGUUCUGAGAGGAAGGUCCCCCACAUUGGAACUGAGACACGGUCCAA
RNAcentral lists this ribosomal RNA (228 nucleotides) under uncultured bacterium. RNAcentral describes it as "partial 16S ribosomal RNA". It matches the Rfam family "Bacterial small subunit ribosomal RNA", at positions 107 to 334 of the family's 1533-position model. The record is from RNAcentral.